This 1050-nucleotide ribosomal RNA is filed under the name Triticum aestivum (bread wheat). RNAcentral describes it as "partial small subunit ribosomal RNA". The record is from RNAcentral. Lineage: Eukaryota; Viridiplantae; Streptophyta; Magnoliopsida; Poales; Poaceae.
AUGGCCGGGGUCGAGGCGCCCCAGCGACGGCCGGGCCCUGCACGACGCCACGCGCUCGAACGCCGUGGCGUCCCCGCACACCAUCUCCGGCAUCACACGGUGCUGGUGGCCUGCAACCGGGAGAGCCCUUCGUCAGCGCGCCGGCCUGCUUGCGGGGCUAGAGACAUAGCAGUCGCGCGCCCGUCUGAGCUACACCUGAGGCUGCCUGUAACUGUUUCACGUAAGGUUUUUUUUCUCAACUCCAGGAUGAGGAUGGCUGUAGACCUGGGUGUGCGGGUUCCUCCUGCAGUGACUCGCGAGAUACGUCGUUUCGGAAUCAUUGUUAACUUGCUGUCCAUCUUCAUUGACAUUGCUCCACUUCUGCUUGUGGUUCUUUCAAAUAAUUGGAAGCGAGUGAGCAAGUUUUUCAGUCUGGAAUCUUUCACUGUUAGUGCUACUCUGAAUUUUCUGCUGCUCUGUCAUGUUCUCUUUGUGAUUGAAAAUAAGGAGCAACACCGUGACGUCUUGUUCGUUAGUGUGGUGGGUUUUGUUACGGCUACCGUGUUUGCAGUUCUUCUCCUUGUCCACCGUGUGGUAAUGGAAAAAAGCUACUCGUACCUUGGGCGCCUGUUGAUGGUCCUUGUCCUGCUUCUCUUUCACGCGGGUUCCCUAGUGGUGUUGUGCGGUAUCUUCGCAGACUAUCAGACCACUGGAUACCUCAUCAAUGGGCUUGGAUCUUUUGUGGUUCUUAUCUCGAAUGGAAUUACUCUUUACCCAGUCCUGAGUCGCAAGGGGUUCCCCGAUGACGAUACUAAGCAUUAUACAUUGAUUAUGUCCAUCAUGAACAGUGCAGAUGCCUUCUUUUUUGUGAUCUACGCUGUUUGUCUCGGAUCGUUUGGCUUUCUCUCGCAAAAGUUAUCCAACCCUAGUCUACUCUUGUCGCCCAUGGGCACAACCGUGUUCCACGUCCUGCUCUUCGCCGGACAUGGGCACGUCCUAAUCCUCGUGGGAGUCUGCCACCUGGCCAUGGACGGUCCGGCCUCAGUGAUUGUUGCGGCCAAGUGCGAAUGA